RNAcentral lists this ribosomal RNA (445 nucleotides) under uncultured bacterium. Its description in RNAcentral is "bacterial SSU rRNA". It matches the Rfam family "Bacterial small subunit ribosomal RNA", at positions 940 to 1385 of the family's 1533-position model. The record is from RNAcentral.
CCCGCUCCGAUGCUCUAGAUUACGCGAAGAACUUACCUACUCUUGACAUCCUGCGAACUUGGUAGAGAUACCUUGGUGCCUUCGGGAACGCAGAGACAGGUGCUGCAUGGCUGUCGUCAGCUCGUGUUGUGAAAUGUUGGGUUAAGUCCCGUAACGAGCGCAACCCUUGUCCUUAGUUGCCAUCAUUUAGUUGGGGACUCUAAGGAGACUGCCGGUGACAAACCGGAGGAAGGCGGGGACGACGUCAAGUCAUCAUGGCCCUUACGAGUAGGGCUACACACGUGCUACAAUGGCAAGUACAGAGGGCCGCGAAGCCGCGAGGUGGAGCUAAUCUCACAAAGCUUGUCGUAGUCCGGAUUGGAGUCUGCAACUCGACUCCAUGAAGUCGGAAUCGCUAGUAAUCGCAAAUCAGAAUGUUGCGGUGAAUACGUUCCCGGGUCUUGUA